RNA transcript from Diprion similis, 1626 nucleotides. It is a transcript of the gene named probable galactose-1-phosphate uridylyltransferase, with no coding region annotated. Lineage: Eukaryota; Metazoa; Arthropoda; Insecta; Hymenoptera; Diprionidae. The record is from RefSeq and is a predicted model, not a curated record. The transcript is spliced from 8 exons.
ACCAAUUUCUACAUUUUCAUCAUAUACAGUUGUAAUAAUCUGGCAGCAUGAUCCGAGAUAACAACCGACAAUGUUAUCAGAUUUGGAUUACGCUACCUAGCUAUGUUCAUGUUAUCUAAUAUCUAGUUGAAAAAACUUCUAAUGACAUAACGUCCGCAUAAAUACUCGCUGACCCUGAGAAGAAAAAUCAAUUUGACACGUCAAGAUGAGUUCCUUGGAAAAGUGUGGCAAGAAUCGCUCUAAAGACAAUAAUGGUAAAGCAAAAGGAGUGUGCAACAUAGGUAAACGAAGAACAUCCAAAGAGCUUGAAUGCACUCGCGACACCCAGAGCAAAGACGAAUCAUUGAUGUCGGAGAAAAGGCAAGUUUCGAGUGUAAGCGGUGGAAAUAUGGCGACUAAUGAUGACUUUGAUCCAACAGAACACCAACACAUCAGAUACAAUCCUCUGAAAGGAGAAUGGAUAUUAGUAUCCCCGCAUCGUAUGAAGCGUCCUUGGGGAGGACAAGUAGAGGAUAAUCUUGACGAAGAGCUUCCCGAAUAUGAUCCGAAGAAUCCAUUGUGCCCUGGAAACGUUAGAAGCAGUGGUAAAGUGACUCCAUAUUACCGCAAUACGUAUUCAUUUGAAAAUGACUUUCCCGCACUGUUGGAGUCUGUUCCAAGUCCGCCAGAAUCUUCGGACGAGCUUUUCAAGAUUGGUCCAGCAACGGGAAAUUGUAAAGUGAUGUGCUUUCACCCGAAAUCAAAUGUUACCAUUGCUUUGAUGAAAGUUGAAGAUAUCAAAGAAGUAAUAAAACAAUGGAUACUCGAAAUGCACGAACUGAGCAAAAAAUGGGCCUGGAUACAAAUAUUCGAAAAUCGCGGAGCCAUAAUGGGAUGUAGCAACCCUCAUCCGCAUUGCCAAAUUUGGAGUAGCUCGUUUCUGCCCUUUGAAGCUCAGAGAAAAGACAAAUUUCUCUGCGACUAUUACCGCCGUCACCAGAAACCGCUUCUGAUUGAUUAUGUGCGAAAAGAGAUUGAUAAAAAGGAACGUAUCGUGAUUGAGAAUUGUGACUGGGUAGUCGUCGUUCCAUAUUGGGCACAGUGGCCAUACGAGACUAUGGUGUUGCCCAAAAGACAAGUAAUCAGAAUGCAAGAUCUGACGGUGAGUCAACAAGAGUCUCUGGCUAUUAUAAUGAAGCGACUGUGUACCAGAUACGAUAAUUUAUUCCAAUGCUCGUUCCCUUAUUCAAUGGGAUGGCACGGUGCUCCAACUGGUCAAUACUUAAACGAGGACUAUCGCUACUGGACAUUUCACGGAAUAUAUCUUCCACCAUUGCUCCGUUCUGCAACGAUAAAAAAGCACAUGGUCGGAUACGAACUCUUGGCGCAAAGUCAACGAGAUUUAACGCCUGAACAAGCAGCUGAAAAACUUAGAGCGGUAUCAGAUGCUCAUUACAGACACCCCGAAACUAGUUUGCCACCUGACGAACCUGCUAAAUUUUGCGUGUGCAAUCCCCCUGAAGCUUCGAAGUCAUAGAGGCUAAUCAAUUAGCAAAUUAUAAUGAUUGUGAUAUACAUUUCACUAUCUGCCAAUUAUCAGGUUUUAAAAUAUUGACUAUAUAUUUUUUGAUGAUUAUAUAGAAAGGA